Molecule: ribosomal RNA, 442 nt
Filed under: uncultured bacterium
Lineage: Bacteria
Description: bacterial SSU rRNA
Rfam family: Bacterial small subunit ribosomal RNA
Source: RNAcentral
AACGAACGCUGGCGGCAUGCCUAACACAUGCAAGUCGAACGAGACCUUCGGGUCUAGUGGCGCACGGGUGCGUAACACGUGGGAAUUUGCCUCGGGGUAUGGAAUAACUCAGGGAAACUUGAGCUAAUACCAUAUAAUGUCUUCGGACCAAAGAUUUAUCGCCCUGAGAUAAGCCCGCGUAGGAUUAGCUAGUUGGUGGGUAAAGGCUCACCAAGGCGACGAUCCUUAGCUGGUCUGAGAGGAUGAUCAGCCACACUGGGACUGAGACACGGCCCAGACUCCUACGGGAGGCAGCAGUGGGGAAUAUUGGACAAUGGGCGAAAGCCUGAUCCAGCAAUGCCGCGUGAGUGAUGAAGGCCUUCGGUUGGUAAAGGACUCUUUUACUUCGGGUACGGAGUAAUAGACGGUACCGACGAGAAUAAGACCCGGCCGUAACUACCGU